ACCUCCAGCAGUUCUUCUUCUUUUCUUUUUCUCUUAUCUUUUCUGCAGCAGCGGGGGAAUGAGUCGCCUCGGCGUCAGCCUCCGCUGCCUCUACGCUCACCACGUCCAGCUCCUCGGAGCCGGGAGGACGUGAGCGCGGCGUCUCGUCCGCGGUGGAGGAAGCCGCGGAGCCUGCCUCUGACGCCGGAAACGAGCACCUGGAUCCCGCGGUGAAGGGCCGGGAAAAGGCCUCAGCUCUCCCGGAAUCCUCCGCGAGAUCCAUUUGUGAUCCCUAUGAAAACAUCCGGCGCUCUGCCUCAGCACGAGCUGGGCCGAAGCUGCGGGGAGCACGCCUCAUCGAGCCGCUCCUCAGUGAAGAGAGCUCGACGGGAAAGACGAGAUUGCCACGACAGCUGAGCUGAAAUUGAAGGGGCCGCCACCUUAACUGCACAGCUCAGCUAGCCCCCUCAAGUGUGCUCCACGCCUAGGCAGACAACACACAAGGCGUGUGAGUCAUUGCCCGUAAUAAAACGGGUGCAAGGGGGGACACACUGGACAAACCGCUCAGCCAUUACUAGGUGGAAAAACUUCACUACCGCACUAGAUGAAGGCACAGAGAUGAAUGGUCCUGCCUUUCGGGUCCCUUUAUAGCGCCCUGGUCCCGGCGUCCAGUAAAACACAAUCAUUCCUGGUGACCUCAGUGCCUGUGUGAGUAUAACUUAUUCUCACUUACCUACACAUGUACAUAAUAUAUCUUAGCACAAGCACAUAUGCCCGUUCAAUAACAAAGAUUAGAAAAUCAAAUGAAUAGAUAAUGCAAUAUAGGUGUCCAUUUCCUGUAGCAUCUUAAUCCUGUAGACCCAACACAUAUCUAAACUCUGUAGGGAUCAAAAACACAGGUAGUACACGCCCUGCAAACCCCAUGACCCAGGUCAUCAAAUGCAGUGCAGAGACAUGUAUAUGCAUCAUGUCAUAGAAAGAGAACUCAAUUGCAACACAAUAAAUGCACACCUUCACAUACUGUAUGUGCAAUAGGAAUGACACACCAGAAGAGGGCUGCAUUUCCCCCAAGGUUCACCCUGGUCGGGUCUGUACAACUUUUACCCCAUGAAUGUUUCAUUUACAUUUUUGUGUGCUGUUUCUCAAGGUCACGGGGUUCUCACGUUACCCCCUGGCCCUUCUGCAAGAGUAGACAAUAGUGUUACUCAAAGAUACAUUUACAUUUAUUUAUUUGUAUUUUUUCUACUCAGUGAAUGAAGGCGCAUGUGACCCAUAAACUACUUUCGCCGCUCGACUAGCUCUGCCAUGCCAUGGCCAAUUGAGCAUCAAAGUCAAAUAAUGUUUUUAAUCCAACCCAAACCCCAAUAAAAGAAAUUUUCUAUUUGAAGCAUCCGUGUAGAUAUUAUUCUCCAAAUGGAUUCAUGGACAGUGUUUCCUGGCAGAGAAAUGGCAAUUUUAUCCUAGGAGAAGGCAGACUGCAAUUUCUCCUUUGUACCAUGCACAUUUAUAGGCAGUGAUUGGACACAGAAUCACCUUUGACAAAUCAACACUUGAAUCGCCUCGAAGAUUAUACAGAGGCGUGAGGGUCAUUGAUAUACCGUUAAACACAAAAUUUGAUAAGAAAACAGCAAAGGUGAGAUAUUAAUAGGUGAAAAUAUAAAGAUGUCUCACCGCCCCACUCCCUCCAUGACUAAUUAGAAUUCAUCCGCCACACUUGAGAUAUGUCUGUCACUGGCUGAGGCCCAAGGUAUUCAAGCGUUGCAGGAUUGGUUGUGCUGUACUGCUCACUGAAACAAAAAGAAAGUCGGUUUUAAGUAUAUGAAGAAAAUGAAAUUGCCCUCAUUCAAAAUUGGUGAGUGACGGAAUCUAAAAAAAUCUAGAAAAUCACAUUGUACGAUUUAAAAAAUAUAUAUUUUGCAUGACAUAAGUAUAUGAUGACCUACUAACCAGUAAGAACUCAGAUUUUCACAGACCUGUUUGUCUUUAGUCGUUACCUUUAUAAAAGACACCUGUCCACAAACUCAAACAGACUCCAUCCUCUCCACAACGGCUAAGACCAGAGUGCUGUGUACAAUAGGCAAGCAGCUUGGUGACAAGGCAACAAGACAACAGCAGCGCAAUUAUUAGAAAAUGGAAGAAGUUCAAGAUGACGGUCAAUCUCACUCGGUCUGGGGCAUCAAUGAUCGUGAGGAAGGUGAGGGCUCAGCCCAGAACUAUACGGCAGGACCUGUUCAAGGACCUGAAGAGAGCUGAGACCACAGAAAACCAUCAGUAACACACUCCGUUGUCGUGGAUUAAAAUCCUGCAGUGCAUGGAAGGUCCCCCUGCUCAAGACAGCGCAUGUCUAGGCCCAUCUGAAGAUAGUCAUGACCAUCUGGAUGAAUAGUCAUGAAUAGACCUUGAUCUGUGAAUAAGUCAUUUUAAAGGGGUUAAGACUGACUUGCCUAUGAAAUCCAUCUCGUAUAGAUAUUGUGACACAAGGUCCUGAGCCGUUGUCAGCGUCGCCCUGGAAACAGAGCAGACACACCUGCACCUGCUCAUCACGGGCUGAGCGGCCACACCUGCGUGCCAUCAGGCGCGGGCUUGAUAAGCCUCAGUGGCACACACCGGGGGGGAGGAAGAUGUCCCGCAGGACCCGAGUAACAAGGCUUGUGUUAUUUCCCCCCAGAGAGCAGUGGGUGACCGCCAUCCCUCCGUCCCCUUGGACUCCACGGACGCCACGGACACACGCAGCACCGCGCCCCGGGAAGGAGACCGAGAGAGGAGCGAUCACCAGGGAAAAAUCCCUCACGCAAUCUAAUAAAAUCCGCCCUUCGGGGCACUCACCGUGA
Long non-coding RNA from Pungitius pungitius (ninespine stickleback), 2810 nucleotides. RefSeq lists it as uncharacterized. The transcript has 2 exons. The record is from RefSeq and is a predicted model, not a curated record. NCBI's taxonomy places the organism in Eukaryota, Metazoa, Chordata, Actinopteri, Perciformes, Gasterosteidae.